UCGAGCGAACAGACGAGGAGCUUGCUUCUCUGACGUUAGCGGCGGACGGGUGAGUAACACGUGGAUAACCUACCUAUAAGACUGGGAUAACUUCGGGAAACCGGAGCUAAUACCGGAUAAUAUAUUGAACCGCAUGGUUCAAUAGUGAAAGACGGUUUUGCUGUCACUUAUAGAUGGAUCCGCGCCGCAUUAGCUAGUUGGUAAGGUAACGGCUUACCAAGGCAACGAUGCGUAGCCGACCUGAGAGGGUGAUCGGCCACACUGGAACUGAGACACGGUCCAGACUCCUACGGGAGGCAGCAGUAGGGAAUCUUCCGCAAUGGGCGAAAGCCUGACGGAGCAACGCCGCGUGAGUGAUGAAGGUCUUCGGAUCGUAAAACUCUGUUAUUAGGGAAGAACAAAUGUGUAAGUAACUAUGCACGUCUUGACGGUACCUAAUCAGAAAGCCACGGCUAACUACGUGCCAGCAGCCGCGGUAAUACGUAGGUGGCAAGCGUUAUCCGGAAUUAUUGGGCGUAAAGCGCGCGUAGGCGGUUUUUUAAGUCUGAUGUGAGAGCCCACGGCUCAACCGUGGAGGGUCAUUGGAAACUGGAAAACUUGAGUGCAGAAGAGGAAAGUGGAAUUCCAUGUGUAGCGGUGAAAUGCGCAGAGAUAUGGAGGAACACCAGUGGCGAAGGCGACUUUCUGGUCUGUAAC
This 696-nucleotide ribosomal RNA is filed under the name uncultured Staphylococcus sp. Its description in RNAcentral is "bacterial SSU rRNA". It matches the Rfam family "Bacterial small subunit ribosomal RNA", at positions 62 to 740 of the family's 1533-position model. The record is from RNAcentral. Lineage: Bacteria; Bacillati; Bacillota; Bacilli; Caryophanales; Staphylococcaceae.